Molecule: ribosomal RNA, 520 nt
Filed under: uncultured bacterium
Lineage: Bacteria
Description: bacterial SSU rRNA
Rfam family: Archaeal small subunit ribosomal RNA
Source: RNAcentral
AAACUUCACAAUGGAGGCAACUCCGAUGAGGGAAUUCCAAGUGCUAGCACAUUAGUGUUAGCUUUUCUUAAGCAUAGAUAACUUAAGGAAUAAGGGCUGGGUAAGACGGGUGCCAGCCGCCGCGGUAAUACCCGCAGCCCAAGUGGUGGUCGAUUUUAUUGAGUCUAAAACGUUCGUAGCCGGUUCAUUAAAUCCUUGGGUAAAUCGGAUGGCUUAACUACCCGAAUUCCGGGGAGACUGGUGAACUUGGGACCGGGAGAGGCAAGAGGUACUUUUGGGGUAGGGGUAAAAUCCUGUAAUCCUAAAAGGACCACCGGUGGCGAAGGCGUCUUGCUAGAACGGAUCCGACGGUGAGGGACGAAGCCCUGGGUCGCAAACGGGAUUAGAUACCCCGGUAGUCCAGGGUGUAAACGCUGCAGACUUGGUGUUGGGGACCCUUCGGGGGUGUUCAGUGCCGGAGAGAAGUUGUUAAGUCUGCUACUUGGGGAGUACGUCCGCAAGGAUGAAACUUAAAGGAAUU